RNAcentral lists this unclassified non-coding RNA (159 nucleotides) under soil metagenome. RNAcentral describes it as "partial internal transcribed spacer 1". The record is from RNAcentral.
CAGAGUUGCAAGACUCCCUAGACCAUUGUGAACCUACCUUCUACCGUUGCUUCGGCGGGCGGGCCCAGCGCCCCCCCGGCCCCCCGCGGGCGCCCGCCGGAGGAUACCCAAACUCUUGACAUUAGUGGCCUCUCUGAGUAUUCUUUACUGAAUAAGUCA